This 253-nucleotide ribosomal RNA is filed under the name uncultured bacterium. RNAcentral describes it as "partial 16S ribosomal RNA". It matches the Rfam family "Bacterial small subunit ribosomal RNA", at positions 524 to 776 of the family's 1533-position model. The record is from RNAcentral.
UACGAAGGGGGCUAGCGUUGUUCGGAAUUACUGGGCGUAAAGCGCGUGUAGGCGGGUCCUUAAGUCAGGGGUGAAAUGCCAAGGCUCAACCUUGGAACUGCCUUUGAUACUGGGGAUCUUGAGUCCGGGAGAGGUGAGUGGAACUGCGGGUGUAGAGGUGAAAUUCGUAGAUAUUCGCAAGAACACCAGUGGCGAAGGCGGCUCACUGGCCCGGAACUGACGCUGAGACGCGAAAGCGUGGGGAGCAAACAGG